GGUAAUACGGAGGGUGCGAGCGUUAAUCGGAAUUACUGGGCGUAAAGCGCAUGCAGGUGGUUUGUUAAGUCAGAUGUGAAAGCCCGGGGCUCAACCUCGGAAUUGCAUUUGAAACUGGCAAACUAGAGUACUGUAGAGGGGGGUAGAAUUUCAGGUGUAGCGGUGAAAUGCGUAGAGAUCUGAAGGAAUACCGGUGGCGAAGGCGGCCCCCUGGACAGAUACUGACACUCAGAUGCGAAAGCGUGGGGAGCAAACAGGAUUAGAUACCCUGGUAGUCCACGCCGUAAACGAUGUCUACUUGGAGGUUGUGGCCUUGAGCCGUGGCUUUCGGAGCUAACGCGUUAAGUAGACCGCCUGGGGAGUACGGUCGCAAGAUUAAAACUCAAAUGAAUUGACGGGGGCCCGCACAAGCGGUGGAGCAUGUGGUUUAAUUCGAUGCAACGCGAAGAACCUUACCUACUCUUGACAUCUACAGAAGCCAGCGGAGACGCAGGUGUGCCUUCGGGAACUGUAAGACAGGUGCUGCAUGGCUGUCGUCAGCUCGUGUUGUGAAAUGUUGGGUUAAGUCCCGCAACGAGCGCAACCCUUAUCCUUGUUUGCCAGCACUUCGGGUGGGAACUCCAGGGAGACUGCCGGUGAUAAACCGGAGGAAGGUGGGGACGACGUCAAGUCAUCAUGGCCCUUACGAGUAGGGCUACACACGUGCUACAAUGGCGCAUACAGAGGGCGGCCAACUUGCGAAAGUGAGCGAAUCCCAAAAAGUGCGUCGUAGUCCGGAUUGGAGUCUGCAACUCGACUCCAUGAAGUCGGAAUCGCUAGUAAUCGUGGAUCAGAAUGCCACGGUGAAUACGUUCCCGGGCCUUGUACACACCGCCCGUCACACCAUGGGAGUGGGCUGCAAAAGAAGUGGGUAGUUUAACCUUCGGGAGGACGCUCACCACUUUGUGGUUCAUGACUGGGGUGAAGUCGUAACAAGGUAACCG
Molecule: ribosomal RNA, 983 nt
Filed under: uncultured bacterium
Lineage: Bacteria
Description: bacterial SSU rRNA
Rfam family: Bacterial small subunit ribosomal RNA
Source: RNAcentral